ACUCAAAGGAAUAGACGGGGGCCCGCACAAGCGGUGGAGCAUGUGGUUUAAUUCGAUGCAACGCGAAGAACCUUACCAGGUCUUGACAUGGGAAGUAUGGGUUCCAGAGAUGGGAUCCUUCAGUUCGGCUGGCUUCCACACAGGUGCUGCAUGGCUGUCGUCAGCUCGUGUCGUGAGAUGUUGGGUUAAGUCCCGCAACGAGCGCAACCCUCGCUUCCAGUUGCCAUCAUUCAGUUGGGCACUCUGGAGGAACUGCCGGUGACAAGCCGGAGGAAGGUGGGGAUGACGUCAAGUCCUCAUGGCCCUUACGACCUGGGCUACACACGUGCUACAAUGGCGGUGACAGUGGGCUGCGACCCCGCAAGGGUGAGCUAAUCCAUAAAAGCCGUCUCAGUUCGGAUUGCACUCUGCAACUCGAGUGCAUGAAGUUGGAAUCGCUAGUAAUCGCGGAUCAGCAUGCCGCGGUGAAUACGUUCUCGGGCCUUGUACACACCGCCCGU
This 500-nucleotide ribosomal RNA is filed under the name uncultured bacterium. RNAcentral describes it as "partial 16S ribosomal RNA". It matches the Rfam family "Bacterial small subunit ribosomal RNA", at positions 899 to 1397 of the family's 1533-position model. The record is from RNAcentral.